GUGGCUGGUGGCACCUUCAUUGGGGAGGACAGGCUCAUGGUAAUGGCUGGAGGUGGCUGGUGGCACCUUCAUUGGGGAGGACAGGCUCAUGGUAAUGGCUGGAGGUGGCUGGUGGCACCUUCAUUGGGGAGGACAGGCUCAUGGUAAUGGCUGGAGGUGGCUGGUGGCACCUUCAUUGGGGAGGACAGGCUCAUGGUAAUGGCUGGAGGUGGCUGGUGGCACCUUCAUUGGGGAGGACAGGCUCAUGGUAAUGGCUGGAGGUGGCUGGUGGCACCUUCAUUGGGGAGGACAGGCUCAUGGUAAUGGCUGGAGGUGGCUGGUGGCACCUUCAUUGGGGAGGACAGGCUCAUGGUAAUGGCUGGAGGUGGCUGGUGGCACCUUCAUUGGGGAGGACAGGCUCAUGGUAAUGGCUGGAGGUGGCUGGUGGCACCUUCAUUGGGGAGGACAGGCUCAUGGUAAUGGCUGGAGGUGGCUGGUGGCACCUUCAUUGGGGAGGACAGGCUCAUGGUAAUGGCUGGAGGUGGCUGGUGGCACCUUCAUUGGGGAGGACAGGCUCAUGGUAAUGGCUGGAGGUGGCUGGUGGCACCUUCAUUGGGGAGGACAGGCUCAUGGUAAUGGCUGGAACGGAAUUAAUGGCAUGAUGUUGAACACAUCAAACACCUGGAUUCCAUUUUAUUUGAUGCCAUUCCAUUCACUUCA
Molecule: long non-coding RNA, 699 nt
Organism: Oncorhynchus keta (chum salmon)
Lineage: Eukaryota; Metazoa; Chordata; Actinopteri; Salmoniformes; Salmonidae
Exons: 5
Source: RefSeq, a predicted model, not a curated record